UAAAGCUCAAUAUAUUUUUACAAUGAUCAUGGGCACAAUGCUGAAAGACUGCCCAUGAAUACCCUCCAUCAAGGCUUUGGUCACCAUGGCUAGUCUGGUGUGGAUCCUAUCCUUCUUCAUGGGAAAGAUCAUCAUACCCAAGAAGCAGAACAUGAACACAAAUACCCUUCUAUGUAUGUUCCCCAAAGAUGUAAGGGCGAACUCAUCAGGGUAGGUGCGGUAGGACUUGCUGUGGCUAAACCUUUAGUAAUAUGGUAUGUAGGACUUCUUCAGACAAGUUAGAUCGGGAUUCUUCUUAAGUCGCAUAAUUUGAAGGAAACCCCUUCCUUUGUGAUUUUCUAGCAUAAGUAGACCUGGAUUCUCCCAAGGUAUUCCAGCUAGACCCCCUAUUUCUUCCAGCAACGGGGUCAUCUC
This 414-nucleotide long non-coding RNA is filed under the name Nicotiana benthamiana. RNAcentral's name for it is "long non-coding RNA (NBEN_LNC023271)". Lineage: Eukaryota; Viridiplantae; Streptophyta; Magnoliopsida; Solanales; Solanaceae. The record is from RNAcentral.